This is a long non-coding RNA of Cyprinus carpio (common carp), 867 nucleotides long. RefSeq lists it as uncharacterized. The transcript is spliced from 3 exons. The record is from RefSeq and is a predicted model, not a curated record. NCBI's taxonomy places the organism in Eukaryota, Metazoa, Chordata, Actinopteri, Cypriniformes, Cyprinidae.
CAUGGUACUUCUACUUAUCCAUACGUCAUCCAACUGACCCAAAUUCUGACAUUGUUUGCACACUGAUGCCAGAACAGCCAAUCUUAGUGUGACCUUUUCCUGGUGUGGAUAGAAAUACUCAAAUUUUAUAUUCAGAGGGAAUAAUAUGUUUAUCACAGAUUUAAUUAACAUUUAUCCAUCUAGACUCUUUUAUAAAAGGUGGCAUAAUACAAAGCAAAAUACACAGUUUGUCACAGAGACAACAACAUUCAUAAUGCACAACGCCGGGUGAAAUGCAAAAAAAAAAGAAGAAAGAACCACUUAAAUGAAAAUCCCUCAUGAAUUAUUAGCAAUGCACUGCAAAACAUUCUUAAACAAAUAAAAUCAGGCCAGCUUAUGUCUCCAAAAAUGGGGUGGGGAUUUAAAUAAGCUUUACAUUUGCAGAACUGGUUUGACCAGCACUGAAUAAAUAGUGAAGGUAAAAAGCCAUGAAAAGAUUCACGAGGGAUCACAGCAUUAUAUCAGUCAGUCUGUUCUGAUCCUUAAAGGGAAGUCAAAAUGAAUGAUCUGAAUGCACGAAGGAAUCAGAUGAAUAUAAGAGCAGCUGGAAAUGGUGGGAGAUGAUAAAUGUACUGGAACUGGCCUCUGCUGAUUUCACUGUCUGGCUUAGCAUUUUACCAGUGGGUCAUGCAAAGGAGAAUAAGAAAUGAAAUGGACUGCUUGAGGAGAAGCAUUGAGAAAGACAGAAGGGAGGACAAAGCAAUGGCUGUGAUUCCCGAGAUCCGCAGGUUGUUACAUGAUAGACAAGACAUCAUUUGCAGCAAUACUGUCCCAUAUUUUGCUCAGCGGACAAGAGAGCAAGAGUUAACCAUCCUGGCAUGCAGUGAC